AAGUCGUAACAAGGUUUCCGUAGGUGAACCUGCGGAAGGAUCAUUAUUGAAUUUUGAAGGGGGUUGUAGCUGAUCUUUUCAAGAUAUGUGCACACCUCUAUCUAUACACCCAUGUGCACCUUUUGUAGGCUUUUUUUUGCCUAUGUUUAUACACCACACACCAUUUUGUACAAGAAUGUUAUUAAUGAAAAUUUAAUACAACUUUCAACAACGGAUCUCUUGGCUCUCGCAUCGAUGAAGAACGCAGCGAAAUGCGAUAAGUAAUGUGAAUUGCAGAAUUCAGUGAAUCAUCGAAUCUUUGAACGCACCUUGCGCUCCUUGGUAUUCCGAGGAGCAUGCCUGUUUGAGUGUCAUUAAAUUAUCAACCUCUUCAAGAGGCUUGGAUUUGGAGUGUUGCUGGCUUGUUGUUGGCUCCUCUUAAAUGAAUUAAGCUUGUGUGUAGGCUUUGGUUUGAUAAUAUCUAUGCCAUCGCUGCAAUGCAAAACAACCUUGAAAUUUGACCUCAAAUCAGGUGGGACUACCCGCUGAACUUAAGCAUAUCAAUAAGCGGAGGAAAAGAAACUAACAAGGAUUCCCCUAGUAACUGCGAGUGAAGCGGGAAAAGCUCAAAUUUAAAAUCUGAUAGUCUUUAUGGCUGUCCGAGUUGUAAUCUAGAGAA
Molecule: unclassified non-coding RNA, 658 nt
Filed under: uncultured Hygrophorus
Lineage: Eukaryota; Fungi; Basidiomycota; Agaricomycetes; Agaricales; Hygrophoraceae
Description: sequence contains ITS1, 5.8S rRNA gene and ITS2
Rfam family: 5.8S ribosomal RNA (bases 200-353)
Source: RNAcentral